UCAAUGACGCCAUGAAAAAGCGAUCAGCUCUUUUUAAAAUGAGCUGAUCGCUUUUGUUGUCUUAAUUAGAAUU
RNAcentral lists this small RNA (73 nucleotides) under Lacticaseibacillus paracasei. Lineage: Bacteria; Bacillati; Bacillota; Bacilli; Lactobacillales; Lactobacillaceae. The record is from RNAcentral.